RNAcentral lists this ribosomal RNA (333 nucleotides) under Triticum aestivum (bread wheat). RNAcentral's name for it is "partial small subunit ribosomal RNA". Lineage: Eukaryota; Viridiplantae; Streptophyta; Magnoliopsida; Poales; Poaceae. The record is from RNAcentral.
AUGCACGGUUAUGAUAAACGGCGACUGUUUUGGAUAAUCUGGUCUAAGAGCUUCUUGAGAAAAAAAAUCAUAAUCACGCAGUUUGGCAACAACAAUGCUGAGAUUAAGUUCAGCAAGGGAGCUGAACAACCUUUUACAGUGUCCACUCUCACAAAUACUCUGGUUGGUAGUUGUUUGCCCACUCCUGAUCGAGAUGAAUUAUGGAUGUCUGUUGUUCCACUGAUAGAUUGGUUUGAUUUUUCAGGCCUGCUUUGCAACUGCGAGGCUCCAGUUUCUGUUGAUCUUAAUGUAAGACCAGGAGAUGAAGUGAUGGAGAUGAAUUUAGCAUUUUAA